AUUGCUGUGGCUAGGACAUGGUUAAGCACUUGGCUGGUAACUGAGAGGUUGGUGCUUUGAACCCACCCAGCAGUU
RNAcentral lists this transfer RNA (75 nucleotides) under Loxodonta africana (African savanna elephant). It matches the Rfam family "tRNA". Rfam says of the family: Transfer RNA (tRNA) molecules are approximately 80 nucleotides in length. The record is from Rfam by way of RNAcentral. Lineage: Eukaryota; Metazoa; Chordata; Mammalia; Proboscidea; Elephantidae.